CACAAAGAUUAUCCUGGCGAAGGUUUUACUAAAUUAAAACACAAUGUAGCAUUAUCUCUAAUAAUUUAGAGUGAUCAAUCUCAUCUUGACUCACACACAAAUUUUGCAAGCACUUGACUGUGCCUAGAAAUCUUCCGUUACUGUAUUAAAAAUAUAGAUAGUCCAGUAUCAAAGCACAGUGAGUUACUUGUAAGUCAUCGUGGUG
RNAcentral lists this long non-coding RNA (205 nucleotides) under Elaeis guineensis (African oil palm). Its description in RNAcentral is "long non-coding RNA (EGUI_LNC004740)". Lineage: Eukaryota; Viridiplantae; Streptophyta; Magnoliopsida; Arecales; Arecaceae. The record is from RNAcentral.